UUUUACUAAAUUAAAACCAUUUGUGUGUCACGUUUGAUUAUGUCCCUAUUUGAUGGCAUCAUAAAGAGAAAUUGAGAGAAAAAUGAUGUUUUGAUAUUUUUUUUUGGAGAAUGUGGUUAAAAAGUGGAAAAAAGUUUUGGAAUUAUGUGUAAACUAUUUUAUUGUAAGAAUAUGUGGUUAAAAAUAAGUAUGAGAAAUAAAAAAUUUUGAAACAAAGAGAGUCAAAUAGAAACUAUAUCAAUAAUAAGAAAAAGGACAACUCGAGAGGGGGCGGGCCUGACCUCCCAAACAAUAAGCUUACAAAGAAUAAAUUAAAUUUUGCGUGUUCCGAGUCUGCUUCAUGUCGUCAUGCGCCUAAUUGAAUAGAAUCUUCCUUGGUGUACAUAAUCUUUUGUACAUCAAGGUGUCCCAUACUCACAUGAGUUGGGGCCUACUAAAAUAUUUUAUUCUAAUGGACUCCACCUCAUAUGAGUGUAUGGAUGCCUUAAUGUUAAAAAAUUUAUGUAUUGGGAGCUUUAUCCAAUUGAAUAUUUGGUAUCCUUAUGGUCACUGUCUGAACUAGUCUCUAAUGAUUCCAACGUCUGAACGAAUCAUUGCUCUUUGCUUUUGAUGCUGAUUUUGCGUGAGAAUGAUAUUAAUGUGUUAAGCCACAAGUGUCAGGUGACACGUGCAUAAUAGGAUAAGAACCAAAUAUGUAGAUGCAAAGAUACUUAGCUUGGCCUCAUGACACUUGUGGCGCAACCUUUUCGCAAGGUCGAGAAAGGGACACCACAACAAGCACCAAGUAGUCUACUCCAUUAGGCCAUGUCUUCUAAAUCUCAAUCUUUUUGUCAUUGUAUAUGUUGAUUUCGAAAGUCGAAUUGGUUCUAAAAUUAGCAAAAAAAAAAAAAAAAAAAAAGUAGUUAGGGUUUAGACUUAGAAUAGAAUAGACUAGAAGGGGGAUUGAAUAAGU
Molecule: long non-coding RNA, 952 nt
Filed under: Olea europaea subsp. europaea
Lineage: Eukaryota; Viridiplantae; Streptophyta; Magnoliopsida; Lamiales; Oleaceae
Source: RNAcentral